UUACCCUACGGGAGGCAGCAGUGGGGAAUAUUGCACAAUGGGCGAAAGCCUGAUGCAGCAACGCCGCGUGAAGGAAGAAGGGUUUCGGCUCGUAAACUUCUAUCAACAGGGACGAAAGAAAUGACGGUACCUGAAUAAGAAGCCCCGGCUAACUACGUGCCAGCAGCCGCGGUAAUACGUAGGGGGCAAGCGUUAUCCGGAAUUACUGGGUGUAAAGGGUGAGUAGGAGGCAUGGUAAGCCAGAUGUGAUAGCCUUUGGCUUACCCCGAGGAUUGCAUUUGGAACU
This 286-nucleotide ribosomal RNA is filed under the name uncultured bacterium. RNAcentral describes it as "partial 16S ribosomal RNA". It matches the Rfam family "Bacterial small subunit ribosomal RNA", at positions 333 to 634 of the family's 1533-position model. The record is from RNAcentral.